Non-coding RNA from Myotis davidii, 76 nucleotides. NCBI's taxonomy places the organism in Eukaryota, Metazoa, Chordata, Mammalia, Chiroptera, Vespertilionidae. The record is from Rfam.
GAGACACCCUUAUGGGGCAGGACUUGUUUCAGUGGGGCUUUGGUACUUACUGAGUCUGCUCCUUGAGUGUGUCACU